RNAcentral lists this ribosomal RNA (534 nucleotides) under uncultured bacterium. RNAcentral describes it as "bacterial SSU rRNA". It matches the Rfam family "Bacterial small subunit ribosomal RNA", at positions 791 to 1322 of the family's 1533-position model. The record is from RNAcentral.
UAGUCCACGCCGUAAACGAUGUCAACUAGCCGUUGGGGGGCUUGACCCUUUAGUGGCGCAGCUAACGCAAUAAGUUGACCGCCUGGGGAGUACGGCCGCAAGGUUAAAACUCAAAUGAAUUGACGGGGGCCCGCACAAGCGGUGGAGCAUGUGGUUUAAUUCGAUGCAACGCGAAGAACCUUACCAGGUCUUGACAUCCUGAAAACUUUCUAGAGAUAGAUUGGUGCCUUCGGGAAUUCAGUGACAGGUGCUGCAUGGCUGUCGUCAGCUCGUGUCGUGAGAUGUUGGGUUAAGUCCCGUAACGAGCGCAACCCUUGUCCUUAGUUACCAGCGCGUUAUGGCGGGGACUCUAGGGAGACUGCCGGUGACAAACCGGAGGAAGGUGGGGACGACGUCAAGGUCAGUCAUGGCCCUUACGACCUGGGCUACACACGUGCUACAAUGGACAGUACAAAGGGUCGCGAAAGCGCGAGCCGGAANAUACCACUAAACUAGUUCGUAGUACCGGACGUUGGUAGUCUGCACUACGACGUA